Non-coding RNA from Paramuricea clavata, 573 nucleotides. NCBI's taxonomy places the organism in Eukaryota, Metazoa, Cnidaria, Anthozoa, Malacalcyonacea, Plexauridae. The record is from the annotation of a GenBank genome assembly.
CAGGGUCUUAGCUAGAGGGCCGUGUUGGCCGUGUUAUCGCGGCCAAAAAUGGAAAAACACGGCUAGAUAAAAUGAACGCGGCUUCAUUAUUUAUAUAAGGCCGUGUAGGUUCAUAAAAUAAGAUGGUGCUACUUAGAACAGACAGAAUUUCUUUCUAUUUACGUCAUAAGAAAGUUUGUAAAAUGUUGAAUUUGCCAAAAGUGAUCCAUGAUGUUUUAAUGUUUUGAUGGAUAAUGGGAACCGUAUGCAUGGUGUUAAUUGUUAAAGUGGUUUUAAAUACCCCCAAGAGUUGCUGAAAUAACUUAAUAUUUUAAUGUCAGUGCGCAAUAUAUAUGAGCGUAUGCUCGCCUUGUAUUUGGUUGCAAAGCAAAGAACAACCACAGGCAUUGUCCAUUGUUGUAGAACCGUGAAUUUGGCUAUUCAAGGUAAUUGACAUGUGCACACCCUGGUCAUUUAGAAACACGCCCAGGAUCUAAAAUCCUAGCUAAGACCCUGCUUCCGUCCACUAUAUGGGUCAUAAGAUGAAGUAAUUCCGAACGCAAAAUUGUAACCUAUAUCACGAGCUGCAUUGUG